RNAcentral lists this ribosomal RNA (428 nucleotides) under uncultured beta proteobacterium. RNAcentral's name for it is "bacterial SSU rRNA". It matches the Rfam family "Bacterial small subunit ribosomal RNA", at positions 958 to 1385 of the family's 1533-position model. The record is from RNAcentral. Lineage: Bacteria; Pseudomonadati; Pseudomonadota; Betaproteobacteria.
AACGCGAAGAACCUUACCUACCCUUGACAUGCUAGGAAGUCUGCAGAGAUGCGGAUGUGCCUUCGGGAACCUAGACACAGGUGCUGCAUGGCUGUCGUCAGCUCGUGUCGUGAGAUGUUGGGUUAAGUCCCGUAACGAGCGCAACCCUUAUCCUUAGUUACCAGCACGUUAUGGUGGGAACUCUAAGGAGACUGCCGGUGACAAACCGGAGGAAGGUGGGGAUGACGUCAAGUCCUCAUGGCCCUUAUGGGUAGGGCUACACACGUGUUACAAUGGUCGGUACAGAGGGUCGCCAACCCGCGAGGGGGAGCCAAUCCCGAAAAACCGAUCUCAGUCCGGAUUGAGGUCUGCAACUCGACCCCAUGAAGUUGGAAUCGCUAGUAAUCGCGGAUCAGAACGCCGCGGUGAAUACGUUCCCGGGCCUUGUA